AUACGUAGGGGGCGAGCGUUAUCCGGAAUUACUGGGCGUAAAGGGUGCGUAGGUGGUUUCUUAAGUCAGAAGUGAAAGGCUACGGCUCAACCGUAGUAAGCUUUUGAAACUAAGAGACUUGAGUGCAGGAGAGGAGAGUAGAAUUCCUAGUGUAGCGGUGAAAUGCGUAGAUAUUAGGAGGAAUACCAGUUGCGAAGGCGGCUCUCUGGACUGUAACUGACACUGAGGCACGAAAGCGUGGGGAGCAAACAGGAUUAGAUACCCUGGUAGUCCACGCCGUAAACGAUGAGUACUAGCUGUCGGGGGUUACCCCCCUCGGUGGCGCAGCUAACGCAUUAAGUACUCCGCCUGGGAAGUACGCUCGCAAGAGUGAAACUCAAAUGAAUUGGCGGGG
This 394-nucleotide ribosomal RNA is filed under the name uncultured bacterium. RNAcentral describes it as "partial 16S ribosomal RNA". It matches the Rfam family "Bacterial small subunit ribosomal RNA", at positions 523 to 918 of the family's 1533-position model. The record is from RNAcentral.